UAGAACAAAGGAGAUGGCAUUCCUCCUGUUACAAACUGCCACUGUGGCUAAUGAUGCCUACGUUACC
This 67-nucleotide non-coding RNA is filed under the name Acinetobacter proteolyticus. RNAcentral's name for it is "crcB". It matches the Rfam family "Fluoride riboswitch aptamer (crcB RNA motif)". The record is from RNAcentral. RNAcentral also lists the same sequence under 1 other name. Lineage: Bacteria; Pseudomonadati; Pseudomonadota; Gammaproteobacteria; Moraxellales; Moraxellaceae.